RNAcentral lists this long non-coding RNA (1506 nucleotides) under Homo sapiens (human). RNAcentral's name for it is "HSALNT0278881". The record is from RNAcentral. Lineage: Eukaryota; Metazoa; Chordata; Mammalia; Primates; Hominidae.
GGCCUGGCCAUGCUGCGAGGCCUCAGAGGGGCGGACUGCUUAGGAGGCCAACGACCUUCCUAAGGGUGGGCAGUCAGGGAAGGGCCAACAGCAUGCCCGCUGUGUCCUCAGGCGGGCCCUCCCUCCCUGGGACCCUCCCAGUGCCAGCCUCCUGCCUGGGCCAGGCUGGGAGCUCCCUGACUGCUCUGGUCCCUGGGCUGCUCCCACGAGCCUGACUCUGACGGUGUCUGCUGCACAUCAUCCGCGGAGUCCCGAGUUUCGGCCACUGCGGUCGUCCCCAUUUCACAGCCAGGAAACAGAGGACAGGGGAAGUCAACUGGAGGUCACGCGGUGAUGGGGAAACCGAGGCACGGAGCUGUGAAGUGACUUGCCCAAGGCCCCACCGGCAGCCAGUGGCAGAGCCAGGUGCCCCCCAAGAUGUUCACGCCCUAAUCCUCAGGAUCUGCAGACAUGUCACCUUUCAUGGCAAAAGGUCUUUGCAAAUGUGAUGAAACAUCUGAAGAUGGCAAGAUUCUCUUAGGUGAUCUCAGUGGGUCCCAGAGGGGGAACGAUGAAUUGACAGUCUCCCAGCCUGUCUUCCCCACCAGCCAUCCAAGAACCCUGCCUGCCAGGAUGCUGGUCCUGUGUCUGCCUGCCCCACGCCACCGUCACCUUGCAGAGAAACACUGAUUGCCUUCACACAUCUGGCUCCAGCCAACUCCCUCCUCUGCACACCUUGAGGCUCCCAGGCAGAGAGGAGGCUCUUCCCCAGGCCGGGGGCCCCCCUGGGAGGGUGUCCAAUGUCAUGCCAGCCAAGGCCCGUGUGGGCGUAGCUCCUGCAGGUUCUCAAGGUUGUAGCCCGCACCCUGCUCCUUGGUUUUGUGAAAGAUCAAAAUCAGGGCCUCACAUAGAACUUUAUAUUCCAACGCUGCAAGUCUCAACACAAACCAAUGUGUUGACUUGAAAAUAAAUAUCACUAAUAAAAUGGAGAAGAGAGCUGGCAUGGAAAGAUUGGGAAAAUGUCAAGAAUUCUUGGUGCUGUAUGUUUAUCAGUAAAUAAAGCACAUCUGAGGGGUGAGGGGUCGGCCCUUGGACCUUGGGCUCUUACAGAUGGGUGCCAUUUUCAACAGCUUUGGAGACAAACAUGGUGUUUGCCAAUAUCUUGGUUUUGCCAAGUCAAAGCUAACCAAUAUCAGCACUUCAUCUAAGCAAUUCCCACUAAGGAAAGGUAUUUUCAACAACAACAAAAGAAUAUAAAGGAUAUAGUCUUGGGAAGGAAAAGGAUAUUUGUCUUGUUUUUCUUUGAGAAAAGAAAUGAGCCUCUCAAUGUUGCCCAGGCUGGAGUGCAGUGGUGCAAUCACAGCUCGUUGUAGCCUUGACCUCCCAGGCCCAAGUGAUCUUCACACCUCAGCCUCCUGAGUAGCUGGGACCACAGGCACGUGCUACCAUGCUUGGCUAAUUUUUUUUUUUUUUACUUUUUGUAGAGACGGGGUCUCAUUAUGUUGCCCAGGCUGGUCUCAAACUCCU